This 487-nucleotide ribosomal RNA is filed under the name Vibrio alginolyticus. Its description in RNAcentral is "bacterial SSU rRNA". It matches the Rfam family "Bacterial small subunit ribosomal RNA", at positions 1 to 474 of the family's 1533-position model. Lineage: Bacteria; Pseudomonadati; Pseudomonadota; Gammaproteobacteria; Vibrionales; Vibrionaceae. The record is from RNAcentral.
AAAUUGAAGAGUUUGAUCAUGGCUCAGAUUGAACGCUGGCGGCAGGCCUAACACAUGCAAGUCGAGCGGAAACGAGUUAUCUGAACCUUCGGGGGACGAUAACGGCGUCGAGCGGCGGACGGGUGAGUAAUGCCUAGGAAAUUGCCCUGAUGUGGGGGAUAACCAUUGGAAACGAUGGCUAAUACCGCAUGAUGCCUACGGGCCAAAGAGGGGGACCUUCGGGCCUCUCGCGUCAGGAUAUGCCUAGGUGGGAUUAGCUAGUUGGUGAGGUAAGGGCUCACCAAGGCGACGAUCCCUAGCUGGUCUGAGAGGAUGAUCAGCCACACUGGAACUGAGACACGGUCCAGACUCCUACGGGAGGCAGCAGUGGGGAAUAUUGCACAAUGGGCGCAAGCCUGAUGCAGCCAUGCCGCGUGUGUGAAGAAGGCCUUCGGGUUGUAAAGCACUUUCAGUCGUGAGGAAGGUGGUAGUGUUAAUAGCACUAUCA